AGGGUCAUAGCUCGGUGGGUAGAGUGUUUGCCUAGCAUGCUAGGCCUUGGGUUCAAUCCCCAACAACUCAU
RNAcentral lists this transfer RNA (71 nucleotides) under Mus musculus (house mouse). RNAcentral describes it as "tRNA-Ala". Lineage: Eukaryota; Metazoa; Chordata; Mammalia; Rodentia; Muridae. The record is from RNAcentral.